UACGUAGGGUGCAAGCGUUAAUCGGAAUUACUGGGCGUAAAGCGUGCGCAGGCGGUUGUGCAAGCCAGAUGUGAAAUCCCCGGGCUUAACCUGGGAACUGCAUUUGUGACUGCACGGCUAGAGUGCGGCAGAGGGGGAUGGAAUUCCGCGUGUAGCAGUGAAAUGCGUAGAUAUGCGGAGGAACACCGAUGGCGAAGGCAAUCCCCUGGGCCUGCACUGACGCUCAUGCACGAAAGCGUGGGGAGCAAACAGG
This 253-nucleotide ribosomal RNA is filed under the name uncultured bacterium. RNAcentral describes it as "partial 16S ribosomal RNA". It matches the Rfam family "Bacterial small subunit ribosomal RNA", at positions 524 to 776 of the family's 1533-position model. The record is from RNAcentral.